This is a long non-coding RNA of Drosophila albomicans, 1392 nucleotides long. RefSeq lists it as uncharacterized. The transcript is spliced from 3 exons. Lineage: Eukaryota; Metazoa; Arthropoda; Insecta; Diptera; Drosophilidae. The record is from RefSeq and is a predicted model, not a curated record.
GUUAUCGUUAUCGCAAGCUUUCAGUGCUGUUCAUUUGUUGCAAUCAAAUAAUAUGACAAAUACACAGCUGCUCGAUAAGUAUCGUUAUCGUAAAUUUACAGUGUUGUCCAUUUAUUUUUGUGAAAUAUUAUAUUAUUAUAAUUAAAAACUAAGCAAUAUUGUUCGAAAAUAAUGACAAUGUUGCGGCAUUGCAUGUGUUUAUUUAUUGCAUUGAAUAAUUGCAACUAACGAAUUUCAAUUUACGCGAAUCCAUGGAAAUAAUAUACGAAUAAAAUAUUCAGCUGGCAAAUAAUUUAGGUGAAUGCAAACAUUUUGAUUGCGUAGUUUAUCACAUUUUAUGGUUUAUGCCGAAUGCGAAAAUUUCUAAAGCUGCCUGUUAUAUAGAGAUAUGCAUUUUUCGAGUAUUUCAUUAAAACAAAGCGGGCAACGGCGAGUUGCGGACGGUGGAGACAAAAGAAUUAUAAAUAAAUUGUUAAGCGUUAACGCAAACGUUACGUUAACGUGGUCGAGAGCAGUCUAGACCAAAUAAAUCAAGAUGCAGAUGGGUUCAUUAAACGUUCAGCACAAAGCACAACUCAAUUCGAACACACUACUCAAGCAAACUUGACCCAAACGAGAGAAGAUUGACUGAAGUCCAAAGUGCAAAACUGAAUCCCAAUACGCAAUGCUCAAUAUAUUUUUUGCUAUUCAUGGUGGAUAAACGAAACGAAAGCACGCAGAAUUCACAGGAUGUGGCAGGACAUUGAAGUGGCCAUCACGAACCACAAUUACCGCACUUUAUAGCACUCAUAAUAUUACUGCUUAUCCAGGCAACUACUAUUCAAGCUUGGCACACUUGAGUGUGUCAAGUUUCAGCGACUCUUUGCUUAAUUGUGCUAAAAGAUUUCGGGGGCCUUAUCGACUGCGCGUCAUAAGCCUAUUUAUAAGUUGGCCUAAUCUGGCCGAGGACUCUCCUACGCUAUCCACCGACCCACCGUUGUGCACAGUUGGUCCUUUUUUAAUGGGCGUUGCGGCCAUUUUGAAUGCAGAUGCUGUAACAGAAAGUGUAGUUGUAGUUGUGGCCGUAACUGACCGCUGGCAGUGUCGCUCAGCGGGCGACAACGUCGGAAGCAUUGUGACUUGUCUCCGGACUCCGGCCUGGACUUGUGCGUAACCUUUGAACCAUUAAGAUAAGCGCCACCAGCAAAAAAAAAAGCCCAGAGAAAUCUCCCAAAGUGAGCGCAAGAGAGCAAAAGAAAGAGACGAGAAGAGAGCGGAGCAACAUAGAGAAAAAGCAAAAAUCGUUGGGCGCAAAACGUGGCUGACAAACAAAAGCGCAGAAAUGAAUUAUUUCACUCGCCAGGGCUUUGUAUACUCAGCAAAUAGUCUGGCAGAUGGGCAUGCACGACUUAG